UUCCACGGGAAACAUAUUUCAUUUCAUUCCAUAAGAACAUACAUGUUUUAAACAUAAAUUAGCGGAUGAAUGAGCAAUCCCCAAAUACAAGAGCCCACAUAAAAACGGCAACUAAAAUCCACAUCGGGGUAGCUUUCGGUACCAAAACAAGAAGACCAAAGCCGAAACUAAAACUAGAUAAAGGCUAACAAUUACCCAAGAGCGAUCAGAAAGUUAAUUUAGUAAAUUUUAAACUUUAAUAGAGGCCAGUGAUCCGGAAUUUCCGCUGCUGCCUAUAGUCCGCCACGCGAUAAUCUCCACCUUCUGCACCAUGACUUAUCGCAGCUGCACGCGCACGCCAAACGAUACCGUCCAAAAACCAAGACCCUGCGACUUCAAAACCCAACAGGAAGAACCGCUACUCUCGGUCCACACAACCUUCGGAUACGGAUGUGACACGCCUCACGCUCACUUACUCCUAGUUAGAAGCCCAAAUAUAAUCCCCACUAAAACGAAGCCUUACCAAACGGAUUCUGCAGCUACGCUGGCUAAAAACCGAAUCAAUAAGCAAUCACUGCAACCACAACUUUAGAGAAAACUCUGCUAAAACAACUUUCACCACACCUUUAUAUUACCACCACACGGAGACACAUAGACUCUUGCUCCAACACAGCAAAACCAACCUCUCGGAGGUCCUCCCAACAACUAUACUAACAUCUUCUAAAACGACAAAGGCACAGAACUAAUAGACAUCUCCGCCACAGAGAUUUAGACCCAAAGACAAUAACAGAUCCAUAAAUUAAACCUCCCAAAAGACUACAACUGGAAGAACGCGAACCUGAGCUUGACCGCUUAACUUAACCGACUCUGGAACCGGCUGACUAUCACACAACCACCGUACAUAAGCCGACAAACUCAAACCCCGCAGUUCAACCAAGCCAAGGCGACCAAAGACGAAACCAGAGACUUUGGUUUCCUUCCUUAACCCAGAUCCGAAGCAGAGCUCCAAAUAGAAGUCUAAAUGGCGAAAUAAAACCGCACGUACAUAGAUCACGACAACACGGAACCGCUCCCGGCAGCGGUGAAAAGCACCGGCCACCGGGACGGCAGAAGAGAGGACAAGGUUUUUUUUUAAUUAGGGUUUUCUCGGCGGCGCUCUCUCUCUCUCUUUUUAAUUUUGCUUGUGAACCUUUCGGCGAAAAGAUUUGUACUACUUUACUUCUCUCCGAUUUGGAAAUUGAUUUUUUUCAUAAACAGAUUUCUGCAAAUAUACAAAAAAAUAAAUAAAUAGCCUUUUCUUUACAUGUUUGGUUUAUUAGUUCUUUUUUUUUUCUCUUAUCGUUUCCUAACCUUUAAGAUAUUAGUGGUGGUGUGGAAUGCUUGUUGAGUUACGAGUGUAGUCCUUACCUGGUACGAUACGGGGAGGGGCACGCACGCGUGUCAGUAGAGGGAUUGACGGCAAAGCUGUUUUGUGGGUAAAUGUAAGCUGUAGAAAUUGGACCAAUAUAUAGCCCAUUAUAUGUUAAUGGACACUUAUGGGCCCAUUAACACUGACAUUGACAAAUCCGCCCGCCAGGCACCACC
Molecule: long non-coding RNA, 1563 nt
Filed under: Brassica napus (rape)
Lineage: Eukaryota; Viridiplantae; Streptophyta; Magnoliopsida; Brassicales; Brassicaceae
Description: long non-coding RNA (BNAP_LNC004589)
Source: RNAcentral